This 326-nucleotide ribosomal RNA is filed under the name uncultured eukaryote. RNAcentral's name for it is "partial 18S ribosomal RNA". It matches the Rfam family "Eukaryotic small subunit ribosomal RNA", at positions 1470 to 1796 of the family's 1831-position model. The record is from RNAcentral.
CCCUUAGAUGUUCUGGGCCGCACACGCGCUACACUGAAGGAGGCAGCGUGUACUCCUGGAUCGAAAGAUUUGGGUAACCGCGAAUCUCCUUCGUGCUAGGGAUUGAGGUUUGCAAUUAUCCUUCAUGAACGAGGAAUUCCCAGUAAGUGCAAGUCAUAAGCUUGCGCUGACUACGUCCCUGCCCUUUGUACACACCGCCCGUCGCUACUACCGAUUGAAUGAUUUAGUGAGGACUUCGGACUGGGACCGAUGCGGCUUUCGGGCUGCGUCGGUAUUCUGGAAAGAUGUCCAAACUGUAUCAUUUAGAGGAAGUAAAAGUCGUAACA